RNAcentral lists this ribosomal RNA (1000 nucleotides) under Kochiomyces dichotomus. Its description in RNAcentral is "eukaryotic LSU rRNA". It matches the Rfam family "Eukaryotic large subunit ribosomal RNA", at positions 33 to 953 of the family's 3401-position model. The record is from RNAcentral. Lineage: Eukaryota; Fungi; Chytridiomycota; Chytridiomycetes; Spizellomycetales; Spizellomycetaceae.
CUAGCAUUCAUAAGCGGAGGAAAAGAAACUAACAAGGAUUCCCCUAGUAACGGCGAGUGAAGCGGGAACAGCUCAAAUUUGAAAUCCCAUAGGCUUGCCUAUGUGAAUUGUAGUUUAGAGAAACGUUUUCGGGGACGGCUUGGGUAUAAGUCCUUUGGAAAGAGGCAUCAUAGAGGGUGAGAAUCCCGUUUAUGAUCCAAUGUCCGUUCCUAUGUGAUACGUUUUCCAAGAGUCAGGUAGUUUGGGAUUGCUGCCUAAAAUGGGUGGUAAAUACCAUCUAAAGCUAAAUAUUGGCGAGAGACCGAUAGCGAACAAGUACCGUGAGGGAAAGAUGAAAAGAACUUUGAAAAGAGAGUUAAACAGUACGUGAAAUUGCCAAAAGGGAAACGCUUGGAACCAGUAUUGUUUGCAGGUAAUCAGCCUUGCGUCCUGAAAGGGUCGCGCAGGGUGCACUUGCCUGCUGACAAGUCAACAUCAGUUUGGUUUGGGGGAGAAAGCCGGAGGAAGGUAGCUUGGGCUUCGGCUCAAGUGUUAUAGCCUCCGGUCAUGCCCUGGGCUGGACUGAGGUCUGCAGUGUUAUUUGGGUUGCCUAUCGCCUCUUGAAACUUGGAUUCAGACAGCUUGCUGACUGCGUUCAAGGCUAGGGAGCUCGGUGGGUGUAUCACACCAACGCUUAGGAUGUUGACGAAAUGGUUCCAAACGACCCGUCUUGAAACACGGACCAAGGAGUCUAACAUAUAUGCGAGUAUUUGGGUGACAAACCCUUAUGCGAAAUGAAAGUGAAAACGGUGGGAUCUUCGGUGCACCAUCGACCGGUCUGGAUUUUUUUGAUAGAUCUGAGUAAGAGCAUAUCUGUUGGGACCCGAAAGAUGGUGAACUAUGCCUGAAUAGGGUGAAGCCAGAGGAAACUCUGGUGGAGGCUCGUAGCGAUUCUGACGUGCAAAUCGAUCGUCAAAUUUGGGUAUAGGGGCGAAAGACUAAUCAACCUCUGUGUUAACUU